CGAGCAAUCUGCCCUUCUCAUCGGAAUAAGCGUUGGAAACGACGUCUAAUGCCGAAUACGACCUCCUUUCGCAUGAUCGGAGGUGGAAAGCUCCGGCGGAGAAGGAUGAGCUCGCGGCCUAUCAGCUAGUUGGUGUGGGUAAUGGCCCACAAGGCGACGACGGGUAGCCGGCCUGAGGAGGGCGACCGGCCACACUGGGACUGAGACACGGCCCAGACUCCGUACGGGAGCAG
RNAcentral lists this ribosomal RNA (233 nucleotides) under uncultured bacterium. RNAcentral's name for it is "partial 16S ribosomal RNA". It matches the Rfam family "Bacterial small subunit ribosomal RNA", at positions 118 to 347 of the family's 1533-position model. The record is from RNAcentral.